This 346-nucleotide transfer-messenger RNA is filed under the name Sphingopyxis sp. It matches the Rfam family "Alphaproteobacteria transfer-messenger RNA". Rfam says of the family: Bacterial tmRNA, also known as 10Sa RNA or SsrA, is named for its dual tRNA and mRNA-like properties. Its role is to liberate the mRNA from a stalled ribosome. Lineage: Bacteria; Pseudomonadati; Pseudomonadota; Alphaproteobacteria; Sphingomonadales; Sphingopyxidaceae. The record is from RNAcentral.
CCCUUUGCAUUUUUAACCCAAAGCCCCUAUAUCCAUCGGGCCGGAGCAAUCCGGCUAUGAGGAUAAAUGGUGCCGUGAAAUAGACGUAAUGGACCCGGGGGCGGUACCCGGCGGCUCCACCACAAGCCCGCAAUUGGCGGGGUUCUGAUGGGGCCGAACUAGGAUCGACGUGCGUUGAAAGACGGUGGUUUCUUCCGGGCUGAGUAACCCGUUAAAGGCUCAAAACUCACAAGUGCCAAUGACAAUGAAGCACUCGCUCUGGCUGCCUAACCAAUAAAGCCGCAAGGCCCAAGGUUAAGCAAAGAGAGCGCGGUUCGGACCGAACCGGGCAACAGAAUCGGAUACC